This 1436-nucleotide ribosomal RNA is filed under the name Halomonas sp. X6. RNAcentral's name for it is "bacterial SSU rRNA". It matches the Rfam family "Bacterial small subunit ribosomal RNA". Lineage: Bacteria; Pseudomonadati; Pseudomonadota; Gammaproteobacteria; Oceanospirillales; Halomonadaceae. The record is from RNAcentral.
GCAGGGCGGCGGCUACCAUGCAGUCGAGCGGAACGAUGGAAGCUUGCUUCCAGGCGUCGAGCGGCGGACGGGUGAGUAAUGCAUAGGAAUCUGCCCGAUAGUGGGGGAUAACCUGGGGAAACCCAGGCUAAUACCGCAUACGUCCUACGGGAGAAAGCAGGGGAUCUUCGGACCUUGCGCUAUCGGAUGAGCCUAUGUCGGAUUAGCUAGUUGGUGAGGUAACGGCUCACCAAGGCCGCGAUCCGUAGCUGGUCUGAGAGGAUGAUCAGCCACAUCGGGACUGAGACACGGCCCGAACUCCUACGGGAGGCAGCAGUGGGGAAUAUUGGACAAUGGGCGAAAGCCUGAUCCAGCCAUGCCGCGUGUGUGAAGAAGGCUUUCGGGUUGUAAAGCACUUUCAGUGGGGAAGAAAUCCUCGGGGCCAAUACCCUCGAGGGAGGACAUCACCCACAGAAGAAGCACCGGCUAACUCCGUGCCAGCAGCCGCGGUAAUACGGAGGGUGCGAGCGUUAAUCGGAAUUACUGGGCGUAAAGCGCGCGUAGGCGGCGUGAUAAGCCGGUUGUGAAAGCCCCGGGCUCAACCUGGGAACGGCAUCCGGAACUGUCAGGCUAGAGUGCAGGAGAGGAAGGUAGAAUUCCCGGUGUAGCGGUGAAAUGCGUAGAGAUCGGGAGGAAUACCAGUGGCGAAGGCGGCCUUCUGGACUGACACUGACGCUGAGGUGCGAAAGCGUGGGUAGCAAACAGGAUUAGAUACCCUGGUAGUCCACGCCGUAAACGAUGUCGACUAGCCGUUGGGGUCCUUGUGACCUUUGUGGCGCAGUUAACGCGAUAAGUCGACCGCCUGGGGAGUACGGCCGCAAGGUUAAAACUCAAAUGAAUUGACGGGGGCCCGCACAAGCGGUGGAGCAUGUGGUUUAAUUCGAUGCAACGCGAAGAACCUUACCUACUCUUGACAUCGUGCGAACUUUCCAGAGAUGGAUUGGUGCCUUCGGGAACGCACAGACAGGUGCUGCAUGGCCGUCGUCAGCUCGUGUUGUGAAAUGUUGGGUUAAGUCCCGUAACGAGCGCAACCCUUGUCCCUAUUUGCCAGCGAUUCGGUCGGGAACUCUAGGGAGACUGCCGGUGACAAACCGGAGGAAGGUGGGGACGACGUCAGGUCAUCAUGGCCCUUACGAGUAGGGCUACACACGUGCUACAAUGGCCGGUACAAAGGGUUGCGAAGCCGCGAGGUGGAGCUAAUCCCGAAAAGCCGGUCUCAGUCCGGAUCGGAGUCUGCAACUCGACUCCGUGAAGUCGGAAUCGCUAGUAAUCGUGAAUCAGAAUGUCACGGUGAAUACGUUCCCGGGCCUUGUACACACCGCCCGUCACACCAUGGGAGUGGACUGCACCAGAAGUGGUUAGCCUAACUUCGGAGGGCGAUCACCACGGUGUCCGGC